AGAUGUGUAGGAAAGCUGGUUAAGACAUCUGUCACUCUGUUUGAUCUCUAGGGUUGACUUCACUGAUCUGAUGGGCUAGGCAGGUGACCCCAUCCUCCUCCAUUGCUCUCUGUGUGCCCUUCCUAAUGCCACUUGGACCUUCCAUGGAGCAGACAGAUCAGUUCUUUACUCUAGAUUAUACAAACAGCUAGUCUCCCUGAUUAAAACCUCCAAACAAGGUCUCAGUACUUACUUCCUUACUAUUACUAUUUACUAACUCAUCAUUUCAAGAUUUUGUCAUUGUUGCUGCAUAUUUGAGUAGCACAUUUUGCA
Molecule: small nuclear RNA, 312 nt
Filed under: Erinaceus europaeus (western European hedgehog)
Lineage: Eukaryota; Metazoa; Chordata; Mammalia; Eulipotyphla; Erinaceidae
Description: 7SK RNA (ENSEEUG00000022954.1)
Rfam family: 7SK RNA
About the family: 7SK was discovered as an abundant small nuclear RNA in the mid-70s but a possible function has only recently been suggested. Two independent studies have found that 7SK RNA binds the CDK9/cyclin T complex (known as elongation factor P-TEFb).
Source: RNAcentral